Branchiostoma floridae (Florida lancelet) is the source of this 974-nucleotide long non-coding RNA. RefSeq lists it as uncharacterized. Lineage: Eukaryota; Metazoa; Chordata; Leptocardii; Amphioxiformes; Branchiostomatidae. The transcript is spliced from 2 exons. The record is from RefSeq and is a predicted model, not a curated record.
AAACACUUGAGUUGGACAGAAAAACUUAAAAGCUGGAGACUGUGUGGAAAAUAGUUGAUUUGCUCUGAGAAGCACUUUUGAAAGAUGUACACAUUCAUUACUGAGUUACUGAGAGGGUUCUGGGACAGGUAAACAUCACACCUGCAUGGUUCACCUGUCCCACAGGUGUUGACAUAAUCACCUGAGCAGGUGUAAGUGAGCAGGUGUGUUGUUCAUGUUGAUGUUGAGUUUUGUGUUUUUGUUCUGCGGGCGGUUGUCAGGCCACUGCUCAUGGCUCACUUUCCUCCCGGCUUUGAAACAGCUGUGGUUGCACAAACAUGAGGGGUGGUUGGGACAAGGGGCUGGAGCUGGGGCCACCCGGGCUGUGGUUGCACAGACAACAGGGCUGAAAGGUUGAAAAGGGAGGGGCAUGUUAAACAUGGAGCACUCGGGCCACAAACAUGGAUAGGUCUGGGGACUGGGUUUGCCUCAAAGCCUUCAUCACCAAUGCAGUUAUUUGAGCUGGUCGAAGCUCUAUGUUUCUGUCUUAGAGAGAAGAGAUGCUGCUACAGUGAGCGUAGUUCAGCGCCCAAAAGUGGUACAUGUGGCCUUGCACAGAGCAAACUUGUUACGAAAACAAAACAUGGCAGAUCUGGACAUGUGCCACAUGGACUCAGCUCAAUUAGACAGAUUUUGUACAAGUGUUGAAAUGAAGAGUAAAUAGAAGGGAACCAUGGAUAUCAGUUUUCCCCCUAAAUAAAUGUACCUGGAAAAAGCUGCUGUAAAGUUAUAUUGUCUUAUUGAAAAUGUUUGCAAUAAUUAUGGUGUUUAUCUGUCUAUGUUCGUAUUUAAGGUUUUUUGUAUACUUGUCUAGUCAUAUAUUUAGAUAUCAAGACAAUAAUAAGGUUUUGUUGAGCACAGGGUUAUGUUUUAGUGGUCAUAAGAAGUAUUGAUAUUAUAUCUCUGCUGUUUAUUUCAAUGAUGCUUGAUCAAUA